Molecule: ribosomal RNA, 887 nt
Filed under: uncultured Methanosaeta sp.
Lineage: Archaea; Methanobacteriati; Methanobacteriota; Methanomicrobia; Methanotrichales; Methanotrichaceae
Description: bacterial SSU rRNA
Rfam family: Archaeal small subunit ribosomal RNA
Source: RNAcentral
CRRWKKUACUGCUAKCGAGAUUCGAUCGYAAGCCAUGCGAGUUGAAUGUUCUUCGUGAACAUGGCGGACUGCUCAGUAACACGUGGACAACCUACCCUUGGGUCCGGCAUAAUCCUGGGAAACUGGGAAUAAUUCCGGAUAGGUCACCGAUGCUGGAAUGCGCGGUGGCCGAAAGCUCCGGCGCCCGAGGAUGGGUCUGCGGCCUAUCAGGGUUGUAGUGGGUGUAACGUACCUACUAGCCUACGACGGGUACGGGUUGUGAGAGCAAGAGCCCGGAGAUGGAUUCUGAGACACGAAUCCAGGCCCUACGGGGUGCAGCAGGCGCGAAAACUUUACAAUGCGGGAAACCGUGAUAAGGGGAUCUCGAGUGCCAGCAUAUAAUGUUGGCUGUCCAGAUGCCUAAAAAGCAUCUGUUAGCAAGGGCCGGGCAAGACCGGUGCCAGCCGCCGCGGUAACACCGGCGGCCCGAGUGGUAACCGCUAUUAUUGGGUCUAAAGGGUCUGUAGCCGGCCAGGUAAGUCCCUUGGGAAAUCUGGCAGCUCAACUGUCAGGCUGCUAGGGGAUACUGUUUGGCUUGGGACCGGGAGAGGUGAGAGGUACCUUGGGGGUAGGGGUGAAAUCUUGUGAUCCUCGAGGGACCACCAGUGGCGAAGGCGUCUCACCAGAACGGGUCCGACGGUAAGGGACGAAAGCUAGGGGCACGAACCGGAUUAGAUACCCGGGUAGUCCUAGCCGUAAACGAUGCUCGCUAGGUGUCAGUCACGGUGCGACCGUGAUUGGUGCCGUAGGGAAGCCGUGAAGCGAGCCACCUGGGAAGUAUGGCCGCAAGGCUGAAMYUAAAGGAAUUGGCGGGGGAGCACUACAUCGGGYSRAGCCUGCGGUUUAUG